Molecule: ribosomal RNA, 350 nt
Filed under: uncultured bacterium
Lineage: Bacteria
Description: bacterial SSU rRNA
Rfam family: Bacterial small subunit ribosomal RNA
Source: RNAcentral
GACGAACGCUGGCGGUGUGCUUCACACAUGCAAGUCGAACGAGGUAGCAAUACCUAGUGGCGGACGGGUGAGUAACGCGUGGGAAUCUGCCUUUAGAUGGGGGGAUAACGGGUCGAAAGACUCGCUAAUACCGCAUAUGACGAAAGUUGAAAGGAGUAAUCCGUCUAAAGAUGAGCCCGCGUCCGAUUAGCUAGUUGGUAGAGUAAAAGCCUACCAAGGCGACGAUCGGUAGCUGGUCUGAGAGGAUGAUCAGCCACAAUGGGACUAGAAGACACGGCCCAUACUCCUACGGAGGCAGCAGUGGGAAUUUUACGCAAUGGGCGAAAGCCUGACGUAGCGACACCGCGUGA